GUGAGAAAGCUUUACAAAAACACCGAGGGAUUUAAUGAUGUCUAUGUUACUAACAUGACGGCUGGGUCUCUGGUGGCCCAUCUCAUUGCGGUUUUUGAGAGGAACACAAGCACCCUGCUCUCUGUCACUGAGGUUCUGAAAUUGGGUCUGGCCCAGUUGGAGAUGGAUGGGCUCACUGUGGACCCUGCAACACUGGGCAUUGUGCCCCCUUCCUCCAUUCCUCC
This is a long non-coding RNA of Scleropages formosus (Asian bonytongue), 224 nucleotides long. RefSeq lists it as uncharacterized. The transcript has 3 exons. The record is from RefSeq and is a predicted model, not a curated record. NCBI's taxonomy places the organism in Eukaryota, Metazoa, Chordata, Actinopteri, Osteoglossiformes, Osteoglossidae.